ACGGCUCAGUAACACGUAGGAACAUACCCCAAACUGAGGGAUAAGCACCAGAAAUGGUGUCUAAUACCGCAUGUGCUCUAAGGAGUAAAGCUUCGGCGGUUUGGGAAUGGCCUGCGUAUGAUUAGAUUGUUGGUGAGGUAAUGGCUCACCAAGUCGACGAUCAUUAGCUGGUCUGAGAGGAUGACCAGCCAGACUGGAACUGAGAACGGUCCAGACUCCUACGGGAGGCAGCAGUAGGGAAUUUUCCACAAUGGACGAAAGUCUGAUGGAGCAACGCCGCGUGCAGGAUGAAGGCCUUAGGGUUGUAAACUGCUUUUAUCUGUGACGAAUAUGACGGUAGCAGAUGAAUAAGGAUCGGCUAACUCCGUGCCAGCAGCCGCGGUCAUACGGAGGAUCCAAGCGUUAUCCGGAAUUACUGGGCGUAAAGAGUUGCGUAGGUGGCAUUGUAAGUAGGUAGUGAAAGCGUUCGGCUCAACCGGAUAAACAUUACCUAAACUGCAAAGCUAGAGGAUGAGAGAGGUUAUUGGAAUUCCCUGUGUAGGAGUGAAAUCCGUAGAUAUAGGGAGGAACACCGAUGGCGUAGGCAGAUAACUGGCUCAUUCCUGACACUAAGGCACGAAAGCGUGGGUAGCAAACGGGAUUAGAUACCCCGGUAGUCCACGCCGUAAACGAUGGAUGCUAGCUGUAAGAGGUAUCGACCCCUCUUGUAGCGAAGCUAACGCGUUAAGCAUCCCGCCUGUGGAGUACGGUCGCAAGACUAAAACAUAAAGGAAUUGGCGGGGGAGCAC
This 788-nucleotide ribosomal RNA is filed under the name uncultured archaeon. RNAcentral describes it as "bacterial SSU rRNA". It matches the Rfam family "Bacterial small subunit ribosomal RNA", at positions 102 to 924 of the family's 1533-position model. The record is from RNAcentral.